Molecule: ribosomal RNA, 215 nt
Filed under: uncultured bacterium
Lineage: Bacteria
Description: partial 16S ribosomal RNA
Rfam family: Bacterial small subunit ribosomal RNA
Source: RNAcentral
GAUGAACGCUAGCGGCAGGCUUAAUACAUGCAAGUCGAACGGUAAGUUUGGUAGCAAUAUCAAACCAAGAGUGACGUACGGGUGCGUAACACGUAUGCAACCUACCUUGUACAGGAGUAUAGCUCGGGGAAACUCGAAUUAACCCUCCAUGAGAUCAUAGAAUGGCAUCAUUUAGUGAAUUAAAACUCAGGUGGUACAAGAUGGGCAUGCGUCUG